ACGAUCCAGCGAGUUAGUUCUAUGUCGUUGACUAAGCAAUUUUUGUUGCGGAGUCGUAGUGAAAGCGAGCCUGAAAGGGCGAAAUUAUAAUGGCAUGGACUAGACCCGAAGCCAGGCGAGCUAUUUAUGAGCAGGGUGAAUCCCGAGUAAUAUCUAAAGGAGGCCCGAACCCACCAGCCGUGCAACACUGGGGGAUGACUUGUGAAUAGAGGAGAAAUUCCAAUCGAGCUUGGCGAUAGCUGGUUCUUCCCGAAAUAGCUUGAGGGCUAGCGUCCUUUAAAUGAGAACAAGAGGUAGAGCUACUGAAUGAAGUCGCGCGGUUCGCCGUAGCUACUUCAACCAAACUCCGAAUUCUUGUUUUUCUUAUCUGGGCAGUCAGAAAUCCGGCGCUAAGGUCGGAUCUCAAAACGGAAAAAGCCGAGACCGUCAUCUAAGGUCCCAAAAUUUAUGUUAAGUGGUAAAGGAAGUGAAGUUUCUUAAACACCUAGAAGGUUGGCUUAGAAGCAGCCAUCCUUUAAAGAGUGCGUAACAGCUCACUAGUCUAGAAACUUCGCGCCGAAAAAUUCAACGGGGCUAAACAUAAAUACCGAAGAUACGGACUUUACAUCAAUUCGUUGAUGUGGAGUGGUAGGGAAGUGUUCUAUAUGCAGUGAAGCGAAAAGGCGUGAGCCAUCGUGGAGCGUAUAGAAGUAAGAAUGCUGAAAUUAGUAACCGCAAUGUGGGUGAGAUCCCCACACACCGAAAACCUAAGAGUUCCUGGGCAAUGACAAUCAUCCCAGGGUUAGUCGGACCUAAGGCAAGGCCGAAAGGCGUAGUCGAUGGACACAGGGUUAAUAUUCCCUGACUGUUUAAAGUUAUGAUAUGGGAGGACGUAGUUUAGUAUGAUUUGCCCCUUAUUGGAUUGGGGUAGGUGCACUGAGAACGUUUGGGAGGUAAAUCCCCCGGACACAAGUUCAAGGUGUGACUGGAAUCCCGCCUCGGCGGGAGAACAAAUCAAAGCAGACUACCAGGAAAAGUCUCUACUUUAUCUUUAAACAUCCGUAUCUCAAUCCGACACAGGUAGGUAGGGCGAGUAGCCCAAGGUGAACGGGAGAACCUUCGUUAAGGAACUCGGCAAAACAGCUAGACGUAAGUUCGCAAGAUGUCUCGCCUCGAGUUAAAUCGAGGCCGCAGCUAAAGAUUCCAACCAACUGUUUAUCAAAAACACAGGUCUCUGCAAACCCGUAAGGGGAAGUAUAGGGGCUGACGCCUGACCAGUGCUGGAACGUUAACGGGAGCGGUGCAAGCCAAUCCCUGAAGCGCCAGUGAACGUCGGCGAUAACUAUAAUCGUCCUAAGGUAGCGAAAUUCCUUGUCAGGUAAGUUCUGACCCGCAUGAAAGGCGUAAUGAGUUGGAAACUGUCUCAACGAAGAACCCGGUGAAAUUGCAAUGACGGUAAAGAUGCCGUCGACCUGCAGCAAGACGAAAG
This 1468-nucleotide ribosomal RNA is filed under the name metagenome. Its description in RNAcentral is "bacterial LSU rRNA". It matches the Rfam family "Bacterial large subunit ribosomal RNA", at positions 615 to 2086 of the family's 2925-position model. The record is from RNAcentral.